This 351-nucleotide ribosomal RNA is filed under the name Paroedura sanctijohannis. RNAcentral's name for it is "partial 12S ribosomal RNA". It matches the Rfam family "Bacterial small subunit ribosomal RNA", at positions 874 to 1395 of the family's 1533-position model. The record is from RNAcentral. Lineage: Eukaryota; Metazoa; Chordata; Lepidosauria; Squamata; Gekkonidae.
AGACACUACAAGCAAAAACUUUAAAAUCAAAGGACUUGACGGUGUUGCACACCAACCUAGAGGAGCCUGUCCAAUAAUCGAUAACCCACGCUCCACCUUACCUCCCCUAGCCUACCGCCUAUAUACCGCCGUCGCCAGCCUACCUCUUGAAAGAACAGCCGUAAGCAAAACGAGCCUCCCCAACACGUCAGGUCAAGGUGUAGCUAAUGGGGGGGAAAAAGAUGGGCUACACUCUCUUCACCAAGAGCCAACCACCAGCCCGAUGAAACAUGGGCUUUUAAGCUGGAUUUAGUAGUAACCUCGGUAAGAAAGCCGAGUUGAAACACGCGCUGCAACACGCACACACCGCCC